Molecule: non-coding RNA, 28 nt
Filed under: Homo sapiens (human)
Lineage: Eukaryota; Metazoa; Chordata; Mammalia; Primates; Hominidae
Source: RNAcentral
UGGAAGGACCAGAAGUUCCCUAAGGCGC